GGGGAAUUUUCCGCAAUGGGCGAAAGCCUGACGGAGCAAUACCGCGUGAGGGAGGAAGGCUCUUGGGUUGUAAACCUCUUUUCUCAGGGAAGAAGAGAUGACGGUACCUGAGGAAGAAGCAUCGGCUAACUCCGUGCCAGCAGCCGCGGUAAUACGGAGGAUGCAAGCGUUAUCCGGAAUGAUUGGGCGUAAAGCGUCCGUAGGUGGUGAUGCAAGUCUAUUGUCAAAGCGUGCGGCUCAACCGCAUAAAGGCAGUGGAAACUGUGUAACUAGAGUGCAUUCGGGGCAGGGGGAAUUCCUGGUGUAGCGGUGAAAUGCGUAGAGAUCAGGAAGAACACCGGUGGCGAAAGCGCCCUGCUAGGCUGCAACUGACACGAGAGAAGACAGUACUCCUGAAUCUGU
This 402-nucleotide ribosomal RNA is filed under the name Chlorogloeopsis fritschii VB513178. RNAcentral's name for it is "bacterial SSU rRNA". It matches the Rfam family "Bacterial small subunit ribosomal RNA", at positions 356 to 777 of the family's 1533-position model. Lineage: Bacteria; Bacillati; Cyanobacteriota; Cyanophyceae; Nostocales; Chlorogloeopsidaceae. The record is from RNAcentral.